CUACGGGGGGCACCAGUAGGGAAUCUUCGGCAAUGGGCGCAAGCCUGACCGAGCAACGCCGCGUGGAGGAUGAAGUUCGUAAGAAUGUAAACUUCUCUUCUGAGGGAAGAAUUUUGACGGUACCUCAGGAAUAAGCACCGGCUAACUCCGUGCCAGCAGCCGCGGUAAUACGGAGGGUGCAAGCGUUAUCCGGAAUCAUAGGGCGUAAAGCGUCCGCAGGCGGUGUGGUAAGUUGGAUGUUAAAGCUCUUGGCUCAACCAAGAAUUUGCGUCCAAAACUACCAUACUUGAGACUUGUAGGGGUGGGUGGAAUUCCACAUGUAGGGGUUAAAUCCGUUGAUAUGUGGAGGAACACCGAAAGCGAAAGCAGCCCACUGGGCAAGUUCUGACGCUCAUGGACGAAAGCGUGGGGAGCAAACAGGAUUAGAUACCCUAGUAGUC
RNAcentral lists this ribosomal RNA (440 nucleotides) under uncultured bacterium. Its description in RNAcentral is "partial 16S ribosomal RNA". It matches the Rfam family "Bacterial small subunit ribosomal RNA", at positions 339 to 795 of the family's 1533-position model. The record is from RNAcentral.